AACGAACGCUGGCGGCAUGCCUAACACAUGCAAGUCGAACGAGACCUUCGGGUCUAGUGGCGCACGGGUGCGUAACGCGUGGGAACCUGCCCUUAGGUUCGGAAUAACUCCCCGAAAGGGGUGCUAAUACCGGAUAAUGUCUUCGGACCAAAGAUUUAUCGCCUUUGGAUGGGCCCGCGUUGGAUUAGCUAGUUGGUAGGGUAAAAGCCUACCAAGGCGACGAUCCAUAGCUGGUCUGAGAGGAUGAUCAGCCACACUGGGACUGAGACACGGCCCAGACUCCUACGGGAGGCAGCAGUGGGGAAUAUUGGACAAUGGGCGAAAGCCUGAUCCAGCAAUGACGGGUGAGUGAUGAAGGCCGUAGGGUUGUAAAGCUCUUUUACCCGGGAUGAUAAUGACAUUACCGGGAGAAUAAGCACCGGCUAACUCCGUG
Molecule: ribosomal RNA, 433 nt
Filed under: uncultured bacterium
Lineage: Bacteria
Description: partial 16S ribosomal RNA
Rfam family: Bacterial small subunit ribosomal RNA
Source: RNAcentral